This 776-nucleotide ribosomal RNA is filed under the name uncultured Neocallimastigales. Its description in RNAcentral is "partial large subunit ribosomal RNA". It matches the Rfam family "Eukaryotic large subunit ribosomal RNA", at positions 23 to 644 of the family's 3401-position model. Lineage: Eukaryota; Fungi; Neocallimastigomycota; Neocallimastigomycetes; Neocallimastigales. The record is from RNAcentral.
AGAGAGAGACAUGCGCGCAUAUCAAUAAGCGGAGGAAAAGAAACUAACAAGGAUUCCCUUAGUAACGGCGAGUGAAGCGGGAAGAGCUCAAAUUUGAAAUCUUCAAGGUUCUACCUUGACGAAUUGUAGUUUAUAGAAGUGUUUUCUGUUAGUGGAGUUUGGCAUAAGUUCUUUGGAAUAGGACAUCAUAGAGGGUGAGGAUCCCGUAUUUGGUCAUUCCUCCUAGCGUUGUGAUACACUUUCAACGAGUCGGAUUGUUUGGGAAUGCAGUCCAAAAUGGGUGGUAAAUUUCAUCUAAAGCUAAAUAUUGGCGAGAGACCGAUAGCGAACAAGUACCGUGAGGGAAAGAUGAAAAGAACUUUGAAAAGAGAGUUAAACAGUACGUGAAAUUGUCAAAAGGGAAGCGUUUGACACCAGUGUUGUUUUUCCGAAAAUCAAUUACGAAUGUUUUGUUUUUGAGGAGUUAUGACUUCAUCGGCUUGCUCCUUUCUUUAUGAAACUUUCUUAAUGCACUUUUCGGUUAACAAGUCAACAUCAAUUUCUUUUGUUGUAAAAGGGUAUGAGGAAGGUGGCUUUCUUUUCGGAGAAAGUGUUUAUAGCCUUCGGCCUCUGCAAUCGGAGAGAUUGAGGUCUGCAGCGUAGAUCCUUCGGGGUUAGAUACAUUUGUGCUAAGCUAUAGCCUUUCAUAGACAACUUGUUGACUAUGAUCAGUCAUGUAGCUUACUCGCUUAUGCUAUUUUACCUACGCUUAGGAUGUUGAUAGUCACAGCGUGUAC